This 253-nucleotide ribosomal RNA is filed under the name uncultured bacterium. RNAcentral describes it as "partial 16S ribosomal RNA". It matches the Rfam family "Archaeal small subunit ribosomal RNA", at positions 474 to 727 of the family's 1478-position model. The record is from RNAcentral.
UACCAGCACCCCGAGUGGUCGGGACGAUUAUUGGGCCUAAAGCAUCCGUAGCCGGUUCUACAAGUCUUCCGUUAAAUCCACCUGCUUAACAGAUGGGCUGCGGAGGAUACUAUAGAGCUAGGAGGCGGGAGAGGCAAGCGGUACUUAGUGGGUAGGGGUAAAAUCCGUUGAUCCAUUGAAGACCACCAGUGGCGAAGGCGGCUUGCCAGAACGCACUCGACGGUGAGGGAUGAAAGCUAGGGGAGCAAACAGG